UGCAAGUCGAACGGUAACAGGAAGCAGCUUGCUGCUUCGCUGACGAGUGGCGGACGGGUGAGUAAUGUCUGGGAAACUGCCUGAUGGAGGGGGAUAACUACUGGAAACGGUAGCUAAUACCGCAUAAUGUCGCAAGACCAAAGAGGGGGACCUUCGGGCCUCUUUCCAUCGGAUGUGCCCAGAUGGGAUUAGCUUGUUGGUGGGGUAACGGCUCACCAAGGCGACGAUCCCUAGCUGGUCUGAGAGGAUGACCAGCCACACUGGAACUGAGACACGGUCCAGACUCCUACGG
This 292-nucleotide ribosomal RNA is filed under the name Escherichia coli. RNAcentral's name for it is "partial 16S ribosomal RNA". It matches the Rfam family "Bacterial small subunit ribosomal RNA", at positions 56 to 344 of the family's 1533-position model. Lineage: Bacteria; Pseudomonadati; Pseudomonadota; Gammaproteobacteria; Enterobacterales; Enterobacteriaceae. The record is from RNAcentral.